AACGAACGCUGGCGGCAUGCCUAACACAUGCAAGUCGAACGAGGCCUUCGGGUCUAGUGGCGCACGGGUGCGUAACGCGUGGGAACCUGCCCUUAGGUUCGGAAUAACUCCCCGAAAGGGGUGCUAAUACCGGAUAAUGUCUUCGGACCAAAGAUUUAUCGCCUUUGGAUGGGCCUGCGUUGGAUUAGCGAGUUGGUAGGGUAAAAGCCUACCAAGGCGACGAUCCAUAGCUGGUCUGAGAGGAUGAUCAGCCACACUGGGACUGAGACACGGCCCAGACUCCUACGGGAGGCAGCAGUGGGGAAUAUUGGACAAUGGGCGAAAGCCUGAUCCAGCAAUGCCGCGUGAGUGAUGAAGGCCUUAGGGUUGUAAAGCUCUUUUACCCGGGAUGAUAAUGACAGUACCGGGAGAAUAAGCUCCGGCUAACUCCGUG
RNAcentral lists this ribosomal RNA (433 nucleotides) under uncultured bacterium. RNAcentral describes it as "partial 16S ribosomal RNA". It matches the Rfam family "Bacterial small subunit ribosomal RNA", at positions 29 to 507 of the family's 1533-position model. The record is from RNAcentral.